GGGAUUGCCUCAGUAACGGCGAGUGAAGCGGCAACAGCUCAAAUUUGAAAUCUGGUCCCCUCUGGGGGCCCGAGUUGUAAUUUGAAGAGGAUGCUUUUGGCGAGGCGCCUUCCGAGUGCCCUGGAACGGGACGCCACAGAGGGUGAGAGCCCCGUAUGGUAGGACGCCGAGCCUCUGUAAAGCUCCUUCGACGAGUCGAGUAGUUUGGGAAUGCUGCUCAAAAUGGGAGGUAAACCCCUUCUAAAGCUAAAUAUUGGCCAGAGACCGAUAGCGCACAAGUAGAGUGAUCGAAAGAUGAAAAGCACUUUGAAAAGAGAGUUAAACAGCACGUGAAAUUGUUGAAAGGGAAGCGCUUGCGACCAGACUUGCGCCCGUCGGAUCAACCGUCCCUCGUGGGCGGCGCACUCCGGCGGGCUCAGGCCAGCAUCAGUUUUCCCGGGGGGAGAAAGGCGGUGGGAACGUAGCUCUUCGGAGUGUUAUAGCCCGCCGCGUAAUGCCCUCGGGGGGACUGAGGACCGCGCGUAUGCAAGGAUGCUGGCGUAAUGGUCGUCAGCGACCCGUCUUGAAACACGGACCAAGGAGUCGUCCUAAUAUGCGAGUGUACGGGUGUAAAACCCCUGCGCGUAAUGAAAGUGAACGGAGGUGAGAGCUUCGGCGCAUCAUCGACCGAUCCUGAUGUUCUCGGAUGGAUUUGAGUAAGAGCAUAUUGGGCCGGACCCGAAAGAAGGUGAACUAUGCCUGUAUAGGGUGAAGCCAGAGGAAACUCUGGUGGAGGCUCGCAGCGGUUCUGACGUGCAAAUCGAUCG
This 806-nucleotide ribosomal RNA is filed under the name Cephalotrichum oligotriphicum. RNAcentral's name for it is "eukaryotic LSU rRNA". It matches the Rfam family "Eukaryotic large subunit ribosomal RNA", at positions 71 to 904 of the family's 3401-position model. Lineage: Eukaryota; Fungi; Ascomycota; Sordariomycetes; Microascales; Microascaceae. The record is from RNAcentral.